CCAAAGGCUCUUUUAAGAGCCACUUAAUAAAUGAAAGUGUGUGUGG
Molecule: non-coding RNA, 46 nt
Organism: Salmo salar (Atlantic salmon)
Lineage: Eukaryota; Metazoa; Chordata; Actinopteri; Salmoniformes; Salmonidae
Source: Rfam